CAAGGAAUUUUCCCCAAUGGCCGCAAGGCUGAGGGAGCAACGUCGCGUGCAGGAUGACGGCCCUCGGGUUGUAAACUGCUUUUCAGGGGGAAGAUAGUGACGGUACCCCUGGAAUAAGCCCCGGCUAACUCCGUGCCAGCAGCCGCGGUAAGACGGAGGGGGCAAGCGUUGUCCGGACUUACUGGGCGUAAAGGGCGCGUAGGUGGUUUCGUGCGUCGAUGCUGAAAGCGCCGGGCUUAACCCGGCGAGGCGUGUCGAUACGACGAGACUUGAGGCAGAGAGAGGCGAGCGGAAUUCCGGGUGUAGUGGUGAAAUGCGUAGAGAUCCGGAGGAACGCCAGAGACGAAGGUGGCUCGCUGGCUCUGACCUGACACUGAGGCGCGAAAGCGUGGGGAGCGAACCGG
This 404-nucleotide ribosomal RNA is filed under the name uncultured bacterium. RNAcentral describes it as "bacterial SSU rRNA". It matches the Rfam family "Bacterial small subunit ribosomal RNA", at positions 355 to 776 of the family's 1533-position model. The record is from RNAcentral.